AUGGCGGCCUUCACCAAGCUCGAGGACUCCCCCAUGUUCCGCAAGCAGGUCAAUUCUUUGGAACAAAUUACCGAUGAACUGAAACAGCGGUGUUCAAACCUUCAUAAAGGAUGCAAAAAAUUCAUGGGAUCUCUUGAUGAAGGAUACGCAGGGGAUCUUUUAUUUGCUGACGCCCUAGAAGCUUUUGGUGCUGGUCGAGAUGACCCUGUUAGUGUUGCCAUUGGAGGGCCUGUAAUGUCCAAGUUCACUACUGCUUUUAGGGAGCUUGGAACGUACAAGGAGCUCCUUCGUUCCCAGGUCGAGCAUAUGCUUAGUGAACGGUUGACGCAAUUCAUUAACGAGGAUCUGCAUGAUGCAAAGGAUUGUCGACAGCGUUUGGAUAGGGCUACAAUGGGCUAUGAUCAGGCCCGUGAAAAAUUUGUGUCAGUGCGGAAAGGGACUAGAGCAGAAGUAGUGACAGGACUUGAGGAGGAUCUACAGAACGGCAAGUCAGCUUUCGAGAGAUGCCGCUUUAACUUAGUUCAUGCCCUUGCAAACAUUGAAGCAAAGAAGAAGUAUGAGUUCUUGGAAUCAAUAAGCGCAGUGAUGGAUGCCCAUCUAAGAUAUUUUAAGCAGGGAUUUGAGCUACUGAGCCAAAUGGAACCGUUCAUUCACCAGGUUCUAACAUAUGCACAGCAAUCAAAAGAAAUGGCUAUGAACGAGCAAGAUAAACUUGCAAAGAGAAUUCAAGAGUUCAGAACUCAAGAAGAAAUUUCAAACUUGAGAAUGGCUAGUAAUGUAAACACAUCUACGAGUGGUGAUGGCAUCCAUGUUGUUGGUCUUCAAUCCUAUAAAAAGAUUGAAGCCUUGAUGCAGUCAACUGCCAAUGGCCAGGUUGAAAUAAUUAAACAAGGUUAUCUCUUUAAGCGUUCUGAAAAUUUACGAGGAGAAUGGAAGAGGAGGUAUUUUGUUCUUGACAGCCAUGGGACUCUGUACUACUAUGGGAACAAGGGAAAUAAACAAUUGCAAGGAGUGGCAUCACAGCAAACUGCUGAACCGGCUGGUGUAUUUAGUCGCUUCAGAUUCUUAAAUCAAAAAGCUUCAUCCCAGGGGGAUGAUUCUCUUUCAUGUCGUACAAUUAAUCUCAGAACUUCAACAAUUAAGAUGGAUGCUGAAGAAAAUGAUUUAAGAUUUUGCUUCAGAGUAAUCACCCCCAUGAAGGCAUACACUUUACAGGCGGAGACAGAGGCUGACCAAAAGGACUGGAUCGAAAAAAUAACAGGAGUUAUUGCAUCACUGCUGAAUUCACCAUUCCCGCAUCAGCCGCCAUACGGGAGCCUAGCAGCAGAAAGACAUGGUUCUGCAAGUUCCCUUGAUUCUGCUGCAUCUCUUGAAGAGAGCAAAACUUCAGAGGCACACAGUGAUGCAAUAAACCAUCUCAGGAAUAUCCCUGGAAACGACAGUUGUGCAGAAUGUCGUUCUCCAGAUCCUGACUGGGCAUCUCUAAACUUGGGUAUUCUUAUUUGCAUUGAGUGCUCAGGGGCUCACAGGAAUCUGGGAGUCCAUAUUUCAAAGGUUCGGUCCUUGAGAUUGGAUGUGAAAAUAUGGGAGCCAGUAAUUAUUGAUUUGUUUCGUGCACUUGGAAAUGAUUACAAUAAUUCCAUUUGGGAAGCUUUGCUUCCGAAAGAAGGUCAAGGAAUGGAUGAGUCAAAUAGCACUAUCCUGUUCAUGGAAAAGCCUAAACCUACUGAUGCUUUCUCAAUAAAGGAAAGGUUCAUACAAUCAAAGUACGUGGACAAACUUCUUAUUGCCAAAGACACCAAUCAAAUUACCAUUGGUAUACUGGAAGCUAUAAGGACAAAUGAUGUGAGAGCAGUGUAUCACAUUCUUGUGUUGGCUGAUGCAAGCCCUAACAUGACAUAUGAUGAGUUGAACAACGAUGUUAACCAUGUUCUACCGGUAACAGACAGGAAAUUAUUUGAUCCAGCCUCUUGUGAGAAAAUAGAGGAUUCUGGGAAACCAGAAGGUUGUCUGCAAGGCUGCUCCUUAUUGCACUUGGCAUGUCAACAUGGUCAUCCUGUACUAGUUGAGCUUCUGCUACUUUUGGGCGCGGAUAUUAAUAAGCAGGAUUUCCAUGGACGGACACCAUUGCACCAUUGUGUCCAAAAGAGUAAUGAUGCCCUUACCAAACAUCUACUGAAGAGGGGUGCAAGAACAACAAUUAAAGAUGGUGGGGGCCUGACUGCUUUGGAGAGAAGAAUGGAGCUUGGAGCAAUAACAGAUGAAGAAUUGUUCAUAUUAUUUGUGAGGUAUGACCGACAGUAG
Molecule: ribosomal RNA, 2304 nt
Filed under: Triticum aestivum (bread wheat)
Lineage: Eukaryota; Viridiplantae; Streptophyta; Magnoliopsida; Poales; Poaceae
Description: partial small subunit ribosomal RNA
Source: RNAcentral